Molecule: ribosomal RNA, 468 nt
Filed under: uncultured bacterium
Lineage: Bacteria
Description: partial 16S ribosomal RNA
Rfam family: Bacterial small subunit ribosomal RNA
Source: RNAcentral
GACGAACGCUGGCGGCGUGCUUAACACAUGCAAGUCGAACGGAAAGGCCUUGCUCUUGUGGCGGGCUCGAGUGGCGAACGGGUGAGUAACACGUGAGUAACCUGCCCUUGACUUGGGGAUAACUCCAGUAAACUGGGGCUAGUACCGGAAAGGAGCUCCUGCUGCCUGGGGGGGGCUGGAAAGUUUCGGCGGUUGGGGAUGGACUCGCGGCUUAUCAGGCUGUUGGUGGGGUAGUGUCUUACCAAGGCUUUGACGGGUAGCCGGCCUGAGAGGGUGACCGGCAACAUUGGGACUGAGAUGAGGCCGAGACUCCUACGGGAGGAAGCAGUGGGGAAUAAUGCACCAUGAGCGGAAGCAGGAUGAAGCAACGCCGCGUGGGGGAUGAAGGCCUUCGGGUUGUAGUCAGCUUUCGCCUGUGAAGAAGAGUGAGUGACGGUAAUGGGUAAAGAAGCACCGGCUAACUACGUG